UGCCGGUGUGGCAGAACGGUUAAUGCCUUCGCCUGCAAAGCGAAUGUCUGGGGGUUCGACUCCACCCGCCGGCGU
This 75-nucleotide transfer RNA is filed under the name Methanoregula sp. PtaB.Bin085. Its description in RNAcentral is "tRNA-Cys". It matches the Rfam family "tRNA". From Rfam's summary of the family: Transfer RNA (tRNA) molecules are approximately 80 nucleotides in length. Their secondary structure includes four short double-helical elements and three loops (D, anti-codon, and T loops). The record is from RNAcentral. Lineage: Archaea; Methanobacteriati; Methanobacteriota; Methanomicrobia; Methanomicrobiales; Methanoregulaceae.